Molecule: long non-coding RNA, 517 nt
Organism: Vicia villosa (hairy vetch)
Lineage: Eukaryota; Viridiplantae; Streptophyta; Magnoliopsida; Fabales; Fabaceae
Exons: 3
Source: RefSeq, a predicted model, not a curated record
AAACCUAAGAAACCACCACUCACUCACUCUCACGUUGUAGCUACUCAACUUCAAACACCUAAAAAUCACUUCGUUCUUCUCUUGUGUUCAACCGUGUUCUGUUGCCACCACCGCAUCUUCGCCGGUGUUAUGUUGCCGCAAUCUCGCCGGAGCCUAGCGUUGUGGUCUUCUUCAUCUUCACACUUCAACUCAGGCUUCUUGCUACCCGAAACAGGAACUUCAAGGAAAUCACCACCUUUUGCUUUGAUUGCUUGUAGAAAGAAGGUUUUUCAGUCGCAAUUAACACAAACAAACAAAAUUGGCCCAAGAUGAGAACCUUUUCCUAGAAAACAUUCUACGGCUGCUACUUCAAGAAUUUGUGGUAUGUUAAACUGUUGCCCGUGUUUAUAGAUUGUUCUUUUUUAUUAUUUUCAGGUUUGGAAAUUCUGGCAUUCCCAUGCAAUCAGUUUGGGGCACAGGAGCCUGGAUCUCUUGAAGAGAUACAAGACUUUGUCUGUACUCGCUUCAUAGCAGAUUU